UAGCCGCCCUCACGUUCCUGAAGUGUGUUUACUACCCCGAGAGGAGGGGAAAGGGGGAGCGCGGGCCGAGGGGCUCGAUGACGGAACCGACAGGAACUGUCGAGCUAAAGGCAAACAAUCGAUCCCGUUCCUGUGAACAAAUCCACCCGUCUGCCAGCUCGAUUCCGUACAUUUUGUCCACAUCUUUCUUGAAGUGUCUCACCAAAACUGGACACAGUACUCCAGCUGAGGCCUCAUCAGUGAGUCGUAGAAUUGAACAAUUAGCUCCCAUGUCUUUCAUAUGAUGCUCCUGUUAAUGCAUCCCAGAAACUAGAAGAUGGCAAAUUGAAAACUGAUAAAAGGAAGUAUUUUCAUACAAUGCAGUUUUGCCUUAAAGGAUGAACAACAACAGGAAGUGUGUGCUGAUUACAAAUAAAAAUAAUUACGCAAGAGUAUCCUGCCUCCAUUUACCUGUUUCUCUCCCAAUAAGGAAUGAACCCAGACCAGAAGCAGAACACUAUUUAAAAAAAAACUAAUUAUUUGUUCUCUACUGAAGUAGAUUUUUGUAAAUAGAGUAAUAGUGUACUGUAGAAAGGUGGACUCACCACUGGCAUGCCCCUUUACAGCUGGAUGUGGCAUAGCAGCUAUCCUUUCUAGCAGCCUCUGUCUACAGUCACUUCAGUGGUCUCUUCUCAUGACAUAGCCCUCCUGUCAGGUCACCUCACAUUUAAGUCCAUCCUUUCCAGAGUAACAGAAAGUCCAACAAACAGAGGUUGGAAUACAUAAUCUCAAGACCUUGUCUCUCCAGCCCUCUAACUUGGGGCCCACUGGUCAUCGCACUCUUCUCUCCUUUCUAGUGGGGAACCCAUGCCCACCAUCUACAUUGUUUUCCAAUCCAGAUACCCUAUGUCUGCUGUCAGACACUUCAUCACUGCCUCCCUGGACUCUUUCCUAUCAUUAGCCUUUCUUCAGGCAUUUUCCCCAGCCCCUUCCUGGGGUCUUUGUAACAAGCAGCAUCUCCCAGGGCUUAUCCCCAAAGGUCCAGUUCUUAGCCUUAUGUCAGGGUCAGCCACAGGAGUUUACUCCAGGUCUGUGGAUACCAGCUAUCAUCCCUCUCUGGACUUCCUCCUUACUCUCCAGACCUUCCUGUUCCCCACAGGUCUUUCCACUCUCUACUUCCCUACUCCCCAGAAGGAGACCAUUUUUCUCUCUCCCCAUGCAGCCCUUCAAACGUCAGACUCAAACACAUUUUAAGAUUUGCCAUCACAGCCUCUUGGGAUUUACUGCCUCAAGUUUACUUUUAGCUCAGGAGGUCCUGCCUCUGGCCCUAGACUUCACUAGCUCUGGCUGAGGACCUUCUGAUUCUAGAACAAGCAUCUCACAGCCUUUAACCCAAAAGAGGAAACUACCUUUCUCCUAGUUUUCUUCCCUGGCCUUCCAUUAGCCUGUGAUCCUUCCUUUAUGAAAACCAAGUGGCAUUGGAACCACGGUCAUAGCACCACUCAGAUUUGGCCCAUCUGUGGAGGGGUGGAGAGGCCAAAUGUAAAGGGAGCUGUGUCCAGCUUUACCCACUUGAAAUGUUGGGAGGUAUGGGCUCCUAUUAACCGUUUCAUUGCCUGUUUG
Molecule: long non-coding RNA, 1602 nt
Organism: Trachemys scripta elegans
Lineage: Eukaryota; Metazoa; Chordata; Testudines; Emydidae
Exons: 3
Source: RefSeq, a predicted model, not a curated record